Non-coding RNA from Callorhinus ursinus (northern fur seal), 281 nucleotides. NCBI's taxonomy places the organism in Eukaryota, Metazoa, Chordata, Mammalia, Carnivora, Otariidae. The record is from RefSeq and is a predicted model, not a curated record.
UUAUCUCACUUUGAAUUUUCAUUCUUUUGAAAAAAAUAAAUGGGAACCAAGGAGAUAUUACAAGCUAUUAUAAAUGUUCAGGAUACCAAAUUGAAAAAUUGAGCAAAGUACUGCAGAUCACAGAGGUCAGAUCAGCCAGCUCUGCCUGUGAUAGUCACAAAAAGUCUUCAUAGAAGAGGUGUGAAAGAUGGAUGCCAGUCACUUAAUUUACCUCAGAUGGUGCAAUCCAGCUUGUACCAGCAGAUGACCUCCACUUGGAAGAUACAGGACUUUUUAGAAAA